AUUGAACGCUGGCGGCAGGCCUAACACAUGCAAGUCGAGCGGAUGAAGGGAGCUUGCUCCUGGAUUCAGCGGCGGACGGGUGAGUAAUGCCUAGGAAUCUGCCUGGUAGUGGGGGAUAACGUCCGGAAACGGGCGCUAAUACCGCAUACGUCCUGAGGGAGAAAGUGGGGGAUCUUCGGACCUCACGCUAUCAGAUGAGCCUUGGUCGGAUUAGCUAGUUGGUGGGGUAAAGGCCUACCAAGGCGACGAUCCGUAACUGGUCUGAGAGGAUGAUCAGUCACACUGGAACUGAGACACGGUCCAGACUCCUACGGGAGGCAGCAGUGGGGAAUAUUGGGCAAUGGGCGAAAGCCUGAUCCAGCCAUGCCGCGUGUGUGAAGAAGGUCUUCGGAUUGUAAAGCUCUUUAAGUUGGGAGGAAGAGCAGUAAGUUAAUACCUGGCUGUUUUGACGGUACCAACAGAAUAAGCACCGGCUAACUUCGUG
Molecule: ribosomal RNA, 484 nt
Filed under: uncultured bacterium
Lineage: Bacteria
Description: partial 16S ribosomal RNA
Rfam family: Bacterial small subunit ribosomal RNA
Source: RNAcentral